RNAcentral lists this unclassified non-coding RNA (181 nucleotides) under Acaulospora lacunosa. RNAcentral describes it as "partial contains 5.8S ribosomal RNA and internal transcribed spacer 2". The stretch from base 1 to 71 matches the Rfam family "5.8S ribosomal RNA", at positions 84 to 154 of the family's 154-position model. The record is from RNAcentral. Lineage: Eukaryota; Fungi; Glomeromycota; Glomeromycetes; Diversisporales; Acaulosporaceae.
GUGAAUCAUCGAAUCUUUGAACGCAAAUUGCACUCUCUGGUAUUCCGGGGAGUAUGCUUGUUUGAGGGUUAGUUUAUUACAAUUCGUAAAAAGAAAUUUUUACGGAUCUGGAUUUUCCAAAAGUUUUAUUUUGGUAAUUUUAAAAUUUAUAAUAAAAAUAGGGGAUUUGGAAAAGUUUUUU